ACGGAAGGCAGCAGUAGGGAAUCUUCGGCAAUGGGGGCAACCCUGUCCGAGCAACGCCGCGUGAGUGAAGAAGGUUUUCGGAUCGUAAAGCUCUGUUGUAAGAGAAGAACGCGUGUGAGAGUGGAAAGUUCACACAGUGACGGUAACUUACCAGAAAGGGACGGCUAACUACGUGCCAGCAGCCGCGGUAAUACGUAGGUCCCGAGCGUUGUCCGGAUUUAUUGGGCGUAAAGCGAGCGCAGGCGGUUUAAUAAGUCUGAAGUUAAAGGCAGUGGCUUAACCAUUGUUCGCUUUGGAAACUGUUAGACUUGAGUGCAGAAGGGGAGAGUGGAAUUCCAUGUGUAGCGGUGAAAUGCGUAGAUAUAUGGAGGAACAACGGUGGCGAAAGCGGCUCUCUGGUCCGUAACUGACGCUGAGGCUCGAAAGCGUGGGGAGCGAACAGGAUUAGAUACCCUGGUA
This 459-nucleotide ribosomal RNA is filed under the name uncultured Streptococcus sp. RNAcentral's name for it is "partial 16S ribosomal RNA". It matches the Rfam family "Bacterial small subunit ribosomal RNA", at positions 341 to 792 of the family's 1533-position model. The record is from RNAcentral. Lineage: Bacteria; Bacillati; Bacillota; Bacilli; Lactobacillales; Streptococcaceae.